Molecule: ribosomal RNA, 447 nt
Filed under: uncultured organism
Description: partial 16S ribosomal RNA
Rfam family: Bacterial small subunit ribosomal RNA
Source: RNAcentral
CACUCCUACGGGAGGCAACAGUGGGGAAUAUUGGACAAUGGGCGCAAGCCUGAUCCAGCCAUGCCGCGUGAGUGAUGAAGGCCCUAGGGUUGUAAAGCUCUUUCACCGGUGAAGAUAAUGACGGUAACCGGAGAAGAAGCCCCGGCUAACUUCGUGCCAGCAGCCGCGGUAAUACGAAGGGGGCUAGCGUUGUUCGGAUUUACUGGGCGUAAAGCGCACGUAGGCGGACUAUUAAGUCAGGGGUGAAAUCCCGGGGCUCAACCCCGGAACUGCCUUUGAUACUGGUAGUCUUGAGUUCGAGAGGGGUGAGUGGAAUUCCGAGUGUGGAGGUGAAAUUCGUAGAUAUUCGGAGGAACACCAGUGGCGAAGGCGGCUCACUGGCUCGAUACUGACGCUGAGGUGCGAAAGCGUGGGGAGCAAACAGGAUUAGAUACCCUAGUAGUCCCA